RNAcentral lists this ribosomal RNA (476 nucleotides) under uncultured bacterium. RNAcentral's name for it is "bacterial SSU rRNA". It matches the Rfam family "Bacterial small subunit ribosomal RNA", at positions 8 to 479 of the family's 1533-position model. The record is from RNAcentral.
AGAGUUUGAUCCUGGCUCAGAUUGAACGCUAGCGGGAUGCCUUACACAUGCAAGUCGAACGGCAGCGUGGUCUUCGGACUGACGGCGAGUGGCGAACGGGUGAGUAAUGUAUUGGAACGUACCCAGUAGCGGGGGAUAACUACGCGAAAGCGUAGCUAAUACCGCAUACGCCCUGAGGGGGAAAGCGGGGGAUCUUCGGACCUCGCACUAUUGGAGCGGCCAAUAUCGGAUUAGCUAGUUAGUGGGGUAAAGGCCUACCAAGGCGACGAUCCGUAGCUGGUUUGAGAGGACGACCAGCCACACUGGGACUGAGACACGGCCCAGACUCCUACGGGAGGCAGCAGUGGGGAAUUUUGGACAAUGGGGGCAACCCUGAUCCAGCCAUCCCGCGUGUGCGAUGAAGGCCUUCGGGUUGUAAAGCACUUUUGGCAGGAAAGAAAAGGGCCUGGUUAAUACCUGGGUCAAAUGACGGUACC